UAGCCAAACAAAUAUUAAAGGCAACGCCUGCCCAGUGAACAAUUAAACGGCCGCGGUACCCUAACCGUGCAAAGGUAGCAUAAUCAUUUGUCUAUUAAUUGUAGACCAGUAUGAAAGGCAACAUGAGGGCCCAUCUGUCUCUUAUAAUAAAUCAAUUAAACUGAUCUCCUAGUAAAAAAGCUAGAAUACUCACAUAAGACCAGAAGACCCUGUGAAGCUUAAGCUAAACUAUUAAACCCUAUAAUAUUUACCUUCGGUUGGGGCGACCUUGGAAUAAAACAGAACUUCCAAACACACGACUAUUACUUCUACCCAUUCCGGCCUACAAGCCAUCACACGACCCAGCAUAGCUGAAAAUUGAACCAAGUUACUCCAGGGAUAACAGCGCCAUCUUCUUCAAGAGUCCAUAUCAAAAAGAAGGUUUACGACCUCGAUGUUGGAUCAGGACAUCCUAAUGGUGCAACCGCUAUUAAGGGGU
RNAcentral lists this ribosomal RNA (478 nucleotides) under Enuliophis sclateri. Its description in RNAcentral is "partial large subunit ribosomal RNA". It matches the Rfam family "Bacterial large subunit ribosomal RNA", at positions 1831 to 2573 of the family's 2925-position model. The record is from RNAcentral. Lineage: Eukaryota; Metazoa; Chordata; Lepidosauria; Squamata; Dipsadidae.